CUAUAAUCUAUGACUAUAAGCUGGAGAAGAUAGAAAUGUUUCCUUCACAACGAUAAUAUGGAAAUCAUCCUUUGAGAGCCAAAAUACUUUCUGACAAGUCAAACAAGUUUCGUGAUUACAUUAUAAAAAGUGACAAAUGAGUAUAAUUGCCAGUUAAAUCAACUUUAGCUGAAUUUCGGCUGUCAGCACUCAGGAGUAUGUGUCUGGCUCUCAGUGGCCAUCAAACACCUGCAAGUUUACUGUAUGGGAAAAAGCGAUAAGAGCGCAGAUGUUCUGUGGAUUCUGUGGACCCUCAAUGACAACUGAUGUGGGAGAAACUAUAAAGUAUAAAACCCCAGGGCCUCUGCAUGGCUUUUGGAAAACACAACACAACAUAAAGAGCAAGACUGUGGCAAAAUAAGAGCAUGCAUGUAGACUAGUAGGUGAACCGGUGACCCAGUUCUCAGAUGGAGAAUUUAUCAUCCAAGAAAGAGAGUGUUAAAGUCCAACACAGGUGGGUGCUGCUCCCCUGUGGGAAUGUGUCAUGGUUUUGUCCACCCUGAGAAACUCUCCCAGUAGAUUAAAGGGUUACAUAUUGCUGGUUAGAUCUUUGCCAAAGCAGACAGAGACACAAAUUAGUUGUGAAAAUGUGGGCCUUGUUGGUGCUCGCUCUUGCCCUCACUGUUAGGGCAUCAGAAACCAGCAACGACACAGCAGUGGAAGAAAAACCUGUCAUAGCCAGAGCUAAACUGAUGGCUCCCAGUGUGGUCGGAUGAGGCAUAAAGAAGCUGCCUGAGCUCUAUCAUUUCCUCAUGGAGCGAUCGGCUUUAUAUGUUCCUAGCAAGUUGCCAAGUGCAGUGUCAGCUCUGCAAAAACUCUUCCAAGUUGAAAUCAUGCAAACCACAACUUGGAAUAUGAUUCAUCGGAGGAGAAGAAUCCCCGUCUGAUAUUCUAUAAUGAAAAGGACGAGGUUGUAAAGACUGUUCCCGUGAAGAAAAUGAAGGCGGACGAGAUCAGCAGCCUGUUGGAGUCUCUGGGUUUCUACAAGAGGUCCCAGAAAGGGGAAGAGGUGCCAGAGGAGUUCCAGCAUUUCCCCCUGCCAGCCCCCAGGGACGAGCUGUGAUGACACCUUGUGGCCAAACUCUGCUUCUGCACUUCCAGACCUGCAUUAAUGACGACUGGGGCCCAAAGGCUGGAACAGCAGCCAGGCCCCCCUCUGAGGACUCGCAGGCUGGGUGCAGAGUGCAGGGUGUUGCUCUGUCAUUGUGUUUAUUUACUAAAUUUAAAUAAAAAUACUAUAAAACACUAAAAAAGAA
This is a long non-coding RNA of Amphiprion ocellaris (clown anemonefish), 1295 nucleotides long. NCBI's taxonomy places the organism in Eukaryota, Metazoa, Chordata, Actinopteri, Pomacentridae. The record is from Ensembl.